This 2809-nucleotide long non-coding RNA is filed under the name Zea mays. RNAcentral's name for it is "long non-coding RNA (ZMAY_LNC004987)". Lineage: Eukaryota; Viridiplantae; Streptophyta; Magnoliopsida; Poales; Poaceae. The record is from RNAcentral.
GAAUCAUGAUACAGAAACGAAUGUCACAUUUUUACUAUAUAAUAAGAAUUCUGUACAAAAUAAAUAAAUAAUUAAAUCAUAAGGAGACAACGAUCCAACAACCCAAAGUUGACUGAGAAACGAUUUUGCCUAGACCUCUCACGAACUCGUCACAGCAUCCUUCAUGCGCCUCAUCUUGCGGUACCUGUCCUUCACCUGUAUGGGGUGUGAGACAGUAAGAGUGAGCUCACAUACGUUCAUCGCUCAACAAGUUGUGGGGAAUAAUGUGCAUGAACUCACCAAAGGUAGGACCUCAUGUGAAGUGUAAGGCUUACCAAAGGGUAUGGUUGAAGCUGAGUAUUGCUUUUAAAGUUGGUCAAAAUUUUAUUAGUAAUUAUUAAGUAUAAGUAAAUACCAACCCAAUUAAGUAGUACAACAAAAGUAAUAACAACACAUGCGAUACAAUGCAUAUGAUAAAUUGAAUUUAGUUCCAUAAUUAAUCAUGUGAGUGUCCGAGUUGCUCAUGACCGUGAACACGGCUAGUAUACCAGUUUUACACUCUGCAUAGGUUGCGCAUCUUUACCCACAAGUCAUGUUACCCAUCUGCCAAGGGAUCGCGACUUCCCAUACACCUCUACCGAGGAGGCGAGGCAUGUUAACAGUACGAGGCCUUUACAAAGUUCCACUAGCUUCAGAAAACCCGCUAUAGUUUCUAGGAAGCUCCAAUGCAGGGAUCCCUCGUCUGACCGCCAUCGCAGCAAAAUCAACCCAAGGACCUCCCUACACUGACCACUCCCCUACUGCCCUUGCCCCUUUCGGGUAAGGUAGUCCUCCACUAGCUUUCCUAAUUAGUCAGCCAAGAGCGUCCCAUACCACCCUUGUGGUAGCACUGUUUUCCCGGGUGGUUCUCCAUGUUCCAAUUAACAUAAUGAUCUUAUCAUUAAUAGUAAAUAACAAACUGAUAAUAAAAGUAGGGUCAUGAAUAAUGUGUAUAUGCAUACCCAAAACCACAUAAAGCAAUAGCAGGUACUACCCAAAUAAAUUCAGUGGUAAACAAGGUAUAAAGAUAGUCAAACUAGGUUAACCUAUUGGGUCCCAUCAAAAUUAACCUAUGCAGAUUAUUAUGAUUAAUAAGAACAUGACUGGGUAAAAAGAAGUGAUCAAGGGCACAACUUGCUUGGGACUUAAGAUUCUAGGUACCAACUUGCUCUUCAGGUGACUCAUAACCUCGCGCUAGUCGUAGCAAUACAAACAAACAAUGUAUAGGCAAAAUUAACAUCACAUCAAACAUAAGUACAAACUGAAUAAUAAUGAUCUACGCGAACCUACGAGAUCGUGGGUUCAAGAACCACUAAAUUCGGAAUUACGGUUAUAGAGUUAUGAUUUUCUGAAGAUUCACGUGGUUAAAUAUUAAACUAUAUUAUAAAUUGGUUAAUAUACACCAUAUGAGAGACUAUCCUAUAAAUAAUUAACUUUUAAUCUUGAUUAUAACCUGAUUCGGAAUCAUAUUUUAAUCAUAUUAUAGAUAGGUUAUCUUUAAUUAGCAAACUUAAUCCACUAAACACAAAUUAAUCAAUAUCCAUUUAUAAGAAUAUGUGUUAUGAUAAAAUUAAUGUUGUUAUUGCAUGGACAAUGUUUUUAUGAAGCUAACGAAACUUGAACGCAUCCAAUCGGAGUAAAAAUGAGCAACACAUGAAUUUUCUAGGAUUACUUUAUACUUGAAAAUCGAUUUCCAUAUUUUUCUUUUAUUAUUUUCUGCACCAUAUAUACCACAAAUAUUAUUUCUUAGGACUUUGGGGACUAUUCCAUAAAAAUCUGGACCUAAUCGUAAUGGUCUUAAGCCUUUUGUGGAUUGUGGGUUUAAUUCAUAAAUCUAUAGGGGCUCUUUUGAAAAGUUGCUGUCGCGAAGGGGUAUCUCUCGAUCUUAGCCGGUGGAUUACUCCGAUGACCAGGAUCAUAUCAUGGUAUAAAGAACAACUAUGCCUUUUCGACAGUUGGAUUGUAUAUCAACGGUACCGAUUUGUUUGCACACGAUCCAAUUUAGCUCGCCCGAUUGGAUCUCGACGGACAGGAUUUCGUCUGCCAAAUCGGUGCAUGCUCCGAACUGAUCUCCACUCUCCGUAAUAGAAUCAACGACACAAGGCCAUUCCCCUCUUUGCCCACGACCCCAAACACGGCGGCGGCGCCCCAGCACGCGGCGGAGGCCCCGUCGGAAUACCCAAAGAGCUGCAUUGGUGAAGUAAUCGCGACUAGGAACAGAGCGAAACGUAAUUCAUACAAGCGCGAACAUCAAAGAAUGCAUUUUACCACGUAUCGGGGUGACGACGAUGCAACCCAUGGGACACGGCGGCUCCAUGGUGACCGGAGUGCUCGGGUGAGCCGUCCCAUAUUCUAUGGUCCUCAUGCAAACACCGAGACGCCUUGAACACUCUUCUUGUACCGCGGUGAAGUCUCCAACGUGGAUUCCGAUGGUCAAGCGCCGGUGUAGGGGAACCCUGAUGCGGCGGCCACCAUGACUCCCAAUCGUGGAGGCGAACCUCAGACCCACGGUUGGUCAUCCCCCGCACCGGAGCAAUGGCAACCCAUACCGCGCCAUGGCGAAGUUCCCAGGACGGUUCUCAGAAACUGGACGACGCACGCGGCUUCUAUGGCAGCGAGCUCCGUCACUCUAUUAUCUCCCUCUCUCGGUAGCUCGGGUUGGCGGCGUAGCCCUCGACGGCGGCUCGUACAACACGGAUCUAGGGGGUGCCGUAAUGGGCGAAGGGAAGGGUUCUCCUUAUAUGGACAGGCACCGGCCGAAUAAACGGCCAUGGCCGAGUUUGGCGGAAAU